UCGCUUUUUCUCCUAAUCAACUUUAAGAAAACUCUAAAACAACCACAAAAAAUAGUUGUUUUCAAUGACAAGUUUACCAAAUAAGAUCAACUAUAAAAAAAAUUGAAAUCACCUAUAAAAUAUCGAAAACAACAAUAAAAUCUAGUUGUUUAAUGAAAUCAACUAAAAUUUAUCAAAAAAAACUACAAAUUGUUAAAAACAACUACAAAAAUCGAAAACAACUACAAAUUUACAAAAUCGACUACAAAAUAAACAACUCCAAUUUUCUUCUACUUUGCCAUGUCUGAGAUAUGAGUUUUCUUCCAGAGAUAGGGCCAAGAUACAACUCCGAUCAUAUGAGUUUUCUUCCACAGAUCUUCGUAGAUUUCGAAUGUGCUAUGCAUAAAAUAAUCACGAUGUCCGCAACUAUUUCAUACAUAAAGACAAACACAAAACAAUUCAAUAAAAAUUCAAAUCAGAACACACAAUAAUAUCCAAAAUAUGUAAUAACAUCAACAAAUUGCUGAUUUUCUAUUUAAACAAACGCCAGACUCAAAUCACAAAAUUAUUCAACAAAUAAGACAUGAUAGAAAUCGAAUCAUAUUGUAAUUUGACAAUUGAAUCAAGAUAACAACAUCACAACAAUUAAUCUAAAAAAUCAAUCAGUUGCAAAAUAAAAAUAAUUAAAUAAUGACAGAAUUUGACAGACAAACCUAAAUAAUCUCGCUUGCUUCGAUCUGGAUCUCGUCGUCACCGGUGUUACACCGUCAUGAAGGCUAAGAGGUCGUCGACGUCGGAUCAGAGUCAUGUGACGCUGGAAGUUGUUCCCAAAAAACGGCGGAGAAAUGGAUUGGAGAAGAAGCUUCGUCGUCUUCUUCAUAAUUGCCCUUGACCAUGGGAUUCGCACAUAAAAAGGAUAUUGGGAGAGAAGAAGAGGGAUGAAAAAAAAUAUAUAAGAUCGUGAGGCGAGGGUGGGGGAGAGGCUGCGUGGCGGAGGUGCAGAUCUGUGGCGAGGGAGAGAAAAAGAGAGAGAUGCGGCUGGUGAAGA
This 1027-nucleotide long non-coding RNA is filed under the name Erythranthe guttata (spotted monkey flower). Its description in RNAcentral is "long non-coding RNA (EGUT_LNC001207)". The record is from RNAcentral. Lineage: Eukaryota; Viridiplantae; Streptophyta; Magnoliopsida; Lamiales; Phrymaceae.